This 72-nucleotide transfer RNA is filed under the name Camelus bactrianus (Bactrian camel). It matches the Rfam family "tRNA". From Rfam's summary of the family: Transfer RNA (tRNA) molecules are approximately 80 nucleotides in length. Their secondary structure includes four short double-helical elements and three loops (D, anti-codon, and T loops). The record is from Rfam by way of RNAcentral. Lineage: Eukaryota; Metazoa; Chordata; Mammalia; Artiodactyla; Camelidae. RNAcentral also lists the same sequence under 2 other names.
GGAGGUAUAGCUCAGUGGUAGAGUGCAUACUUAGCAUGCACAAGGUUGUGGGUUCAAUCCCCAGCACCUCCA